GGCGAACGCUGGCGGCGUGCUUAACACAUGCCAGUCGAACGGAAAGGCCCUGCUUUUGUGGGGUGCUCGAGUGGCGAACGGGUGAGUAACACGUGAGUAACCUGCCCUUGACUUUGGGAUAACUUCAGGAAACUGGGGCUAAUACCGGAUAGGAGCUCCUGCUGCAUGGUGGGGGUUGGAAAGUUUCGGCGGUUGGGGAUGGACUCGCGGCUUAUCAGCUUGUUGGUGGGGUAGUGGCUUACCAAGGCUUUGACGGGUAGCCGGCCUGAGAGGGUGACCGGCCACAUUGGGACUGAGAUACGGCCCAGACUCCUACGGGAGGCAGCAGUGGGGAAUAUUGCACAAUGGGCGGAAGCCUGAUGCAGCAACGCCGCGUGCGGGAUGACGGCCUUCGGGUUGUAAACCGCUUUCGCAUGUGACGAAGCGUGAGUGACGGUAAUGGGUAAAGAAGCACCGGCUAACUACGUG
Molecule: ribosomal RNA, 468 nt
Filed under: uncultured bacterium
Lineage: Bacteria
Description: partial 16S ribosomal RNA
Rfam family: Bacterial small subunit ribosomal RNA
Source: RNAcentral